Scophthalmus maximus (turbot) is the source of this 688-nucleotide long non-coding RNA. RefSeq lists it as uncharacterized. The record is from RefSeq and is a predicted model, not a curated record. Lineage: Eukaryota; Metazoa; Chordata; Actinopteri; Pleuronectiformes; Scophthalmidae. The transcript has 2 exons.
GAGCAUCUCGGCGUUUCUCCAGCUCAACCGAGACCUCAGUCGCUUCCUGUUCCACUUCUCGUUCUCACUGUCGGAGUCCCUCCGCACCUUGACGCUCCCCACCGCCGCGGCGUGUCACACUUGGCGAUGGUGUGGAGGUUAUCAGUUCUGCUAACGUGAAGUUGCCCCCCCCCCCCGCGGUCCUCACCCCGAGCUGUGGCCACCUCCCCUUCGUGCCAGGCCAGGCAGUGGAAGGCGGUCGGCGCGAUGCCAACGGGGAAGCUGAUCUCCAUCCCCUGCACCGUGGUCCGCGUGUCGCUCACGGACACGUCCCGCAGGAUACGAGGCCUCAGGCGGAUCCUGGGUGUGAACAUGUGACGGGGUGAUAUGGGACAUGGAUGGGGUGGGGUCAGCAACUUAUAAUGAGCUAAAGAAAAAUACUGAGGAUUGGAGCAAGUGAUAAUGAUGAUGAGGGCAGUGCCUCAAAAAAUUAUUUUCCUUUUUGUGAUUAAUGUCCAGAACAUUUUCCUCUGCAAAUCACCAGUGAAAGUUUCCUUUGGACAAAUGCUUUGCUUUGUUUAACAAAACAUGAACCAAAGAUAUUCAAGUUACUGUAGAAACAUUAAAACAUCUAAUUUUCUUUACCAAAUUUUUUUUCUUUUUUGUCACACUGAUCCAAAAUUCUCAAUAAAUUCCAAAACUAAAACAA